This is an RNA transcript of Crotalus tigris (Tiger rattlesnake), 1786 nucleotides long. It is a transcript of the gene named androgen-induced gene 1 protein-like, with no coding region annotated. The record is from RefSeq and is a predicted model, not a curated record. Lineage: Eukaryota; Metazoa; Chordata; Lepidosauria; Squamata; Viperidae. The transcript is spliced from 7 exons.
GAUGGCGGCGGGCGAUUGAGCGCCAAAUUCCCUCUCAGCGCCUGCGCGGAGGAUCCGCCGGCGCGUGGCGCCGCCGCGGCUUUGAAACUUUUAUCCCUUAUUACCACUUCUACCCACCGCGGCGUGGAAUGAACGAUCAUGCCGUUGGCCGUGCGAGGUCAGAGAGCUGUGGCACUGCUACACUUCCUCUGCUUCCUCUGGGCAAUCUUCGCUCUGACUCAAAAUUUGGGGUUGCCUAAGUCGGUCCGGAAAGUGCACGACGAUAGUUAUGGCGGCCAAUGGAAAUACCUGACCUUCCUCAACCAGCUUCUACAGACAGUGCUGUACUUAUUAUGUGUCACAAUUGAUGCUGUAGCCCUGUUUGUUCCUUCCCAAGAAAGGAAAGUAUCAUCUAUAGUGCUGCCUAUUAGAGAUUUCAUCUUCUCUGCAUUUGUAUUCCCUGUUGGCUUAUUUGUAGCUGUUGCUUUCUGGGGCCUUUAUGCAAUUGACAGAGAACUAGUGUACCCUAAAGAACUGGAUGAGAUUAAUCCAGAUUGGCUUAAUCACACUAUGCAUACUACUAUCCUGCCACUGCUUUUCAUAGAGCUGGUUAUAUGUUCACAUAAGUAUCCUCCUAGAUGGAAAGGAAUAUUGGGACUUGGCAUCUUUGCAGUUGUAUACCUAUCAUGGAUAAUUUGGAUACAUCAUGUAGCUGGGAUUUGGGCUUAUCCAGUUUUAGGAGUGCUUGGCCUACUUGGAAAGGCAAUGUUUCUUUCAGUUGCUGUGUGCAUAAUGUUCAUCUUCUACUUCGUUGGGGAGCACCUAACAAAAUGGUUGUGGGAUUUCACUUUCCUGGCUCUUUCAAAAUCACCCUAAAUUCAGUGUGCACUAGGACCUUGGAGAAGACCACAUCCUUCCCUAACUGUUAAUGUUGCAACGUGUGGCUAUCACGGAAAAAGUCCCCUUGUCUGAAGGUCUUUCUUUGGAGAGACCCCUUAGCAUCCUCAGUGAAUGUACUUAGAGGCCAGACUUCCUUUUCUGCAAAGCGUAGAAAGAAGUGCAUGUAGAGAAGACCCCAAGGAAGACAUCAGCUCAUUAAAAGGGCAAGCUCACCUAUGGAAUACAGUGCAACUUGAACAUGGAAAAUAUUAUAGUUUGUAACUGGUUCUUAAUGUUUACAGGAAAAAUAAGAUCUUUUGGAGCAGAAGUGAAGAAUCUUGAGUCUUCCAGAUGUUGUUGAUAUACUGUUGUAUAUCCCAGCAAUGCCAGUUGCCAUACCAUAACAGUUUCAAGAAAUGGGGAUUUGUUUAAUCAACAACAGUUUGCAAGAUCACAAGUUCCCUAUUCAUACAGUAAAAAGCUAUCCAAGUAGAAAAAGAAAAAUGGCAGAAAAGAGGGAUGUGGUAGCAAGACUAUCCCUGAAUACAGAUAAUGGGUUGUGUGCCUAUGAGAAUAAUCAGAGAAGUGAUUCUACAAAUAAGAUUAUUUCAUUAAUAGUGUCAGCAAACGAAGCACUUUAUAUCUCAAGUUUCUGUUUUAUUUUUUAAUAGGCUAAAAAUGAAAAAUUGCAUAAAACAUGUCUUUGGGGAGAACAGUUGUCUCCCCAGCCAACCCAAGAGUCACACAGUAGUAAAUAGAAUCUUUUACCCAAUUUCUCUAUAAAUAUCUGUCCAAAAAGAGCGCUUGCUCUUGGCAUCGUAAUCAUCAGGUUUAAGCAAUAAAAUAAAAGAGGCUUUUGGUUAGCUGCUUUAUCCUUCCCUGCCCUGGAAGUUCAAAAAUGCUGUUUUUUGAAACAGCAGUGCAUGAA